RNAcentral lists this transfer RNA (78 nucleotides) under Phytophthora infestans (potato late blight agent). Its description in RNAcentral is "tRNA-Ala". The stretch from base 8 to 76 matches the Rfam family "tRNA". From Rfam's summary of the family: Transfer RNA (tRNA) molecules are approximately 80 nucleotides in length. Their secondary structure includes four short double-helical elements and three loops (D, anti-codon, and T loops). The record is from RNAcentral. Lineage: Eukaryota; Oomycota; Peronosporomycetes; Peronosporales; Peronosporaceae.
GGGCAUCGCUUUUUUAGCUCAGUGGUCGAGCACUCGCUUUGCAAGCGAGAGGUUUGUGUUAAAUCUCACUCGAGCCCA